GACGUAGGUUGCGAGCGUUAUCCGGAUUUACUGAGCGUAAAGCGCUUGUAGGCGGCUUCGUAAGUUGGGCGUGAAAGCUCCGGGCUUAACCCGGAGAGGCCGUCCAAUACUGCGGAGCUCGAGGGUGCCAGAGGAAGGUGGAAUUCCUGGUGUAGCGGUGAAAUGCGUAGAUAUCAGGAGGAACACCCGUGGCGAAGGCGGCUUUCUGGGGCAUUCCUGACGCUGAGAAGCGAAAGCUAGGGGAGCAAACAGG
This 253-nucleotide ribosomal RNA is filed under the name uncultured bacterium. RNAcentral describes it as "partial 16S ribosomal RNA". It matches the Rfam family "Bacterial small subunit ribosomal RNA", at positions 524 to 776 of the family's 1533-position model. The record is from RNAcentral.